Molecule: ribosomal RNA, 440 nt
Filed under: uncultured bacterium
Lineage: Bacteria
Description: bacterial SSU rRNA
Rfam family: Bacterial small subunit ribosomal RNA
Source: RNAcentral
CCUACGGGUGGCUGCAGUCGAGAAUAUUCGACAAUGGGCGAAAGCCUGAUCGAGCGACGCCGCGUGCGGGAUGAAGGCCUUCGGGUUGUAAACCGCGGUAGAUAAGCAGCAACGCAAGUGAGCGCUUAUCGGAAAGUGGUUGGUAACUACGUGCCAGCACCAGCGGUAAUACGUAGACCACAAGCGUUAUCCGGAUUUAUUGGGCGUAAAGAGUGCGUAGGAGGUGCGAUGCGUCCCUGGUUAAAGCCCGCUGCCUAACGGCGGAAAUGCCCGGGAUACGAUCGCGCUGGAGGAGGUGAGAGGUGCAUGGAACUCACGGUGUAGGGGUGAAAUCCGUUGAUAUCGUGGGGAACACCAAAGGCGAAGGCAGUGCACUGGUACCUUCCUGACUCUAAAGCACGAAAGCGUGGGGAGCAAAAAGGAUUAGAUACCCCAGUAGU